This 71-nucleotide transfer RNA is filed under the name Loxodonta africana (African savanna elephant). It matches the Rfam family "tRNA". From Rfam's summary of the family: Transfer RNA (tRNA) molecules are approximately 80 nucleotides in length. Their secondary structure includes four short double-helical elements and three loops (D, anti-codon, and T loops). The record is from Rfam by way of RNAcentral. Lineage: Eukaryota; Metazoa; Chordata; Mammalia; Proboscidea; Elephantidae.
GCAGUGGUUGUUCAGUGGUAGAUUUCUCACCUUCCAUGUGGGAAAUCAGGGUUCAAUUCCAGGCCAAUGCA